CAGUCGCCGCGGUAAUACGAAGGGGGCUAGCGUUGCUCGGAAUGGCUGGGCGUAAAGGGCGCGUAGGCGGUUUGCCAAGUUAGAUGUGAAAUUCCUGGGCUCAACCUGGGGGCUGCAUUUGAUACUGGCAGGCUUGAGUAUGGAAGAGGGUCGUGGAAUUCCCAGUGUAGAGGUGAAAUUCGUAGAUAUUGGGAAGAACACCGGUGGCGAAGGCGGCAACCUGGUCCAUAAUUGACGCUGAGGCGCGAAAGCGUGGGGAGCAAACAGGAUUAGAUACCCGCGUAGUCCCUGUCUCUUAUAC
RNAcentral lists this ribosomal RNA (301 nucleotides) under uncultured bacterium. RNAcentral's name for it is "partial 16S ribosomal RNA". It matches the Rfam family "Bacterial small subunit ribosomal RNA", at positions 509 to 807 of the family's 1533-position model. The record is from RNAcentral.